UACGUAGGGGGCAAGCGUUGUCCGGAAUCAUUGGGCGUAAAGAGCGUGUAGGCGGCCUGAUAAGUCGGCUGUGAAAGUCAAGGGCUCAACCCUUGAAUGCCGGCCGAUACUGUCAGGCUAGAGUCCGGAAGAGGCGAGUGGAAUUCCUGGUGUAGCGGUGAAAUGCGCAGAUAUCAGGAAGAACACCGAUGGCGAAGGCAGCUCUCUGGGACGGUACUGACGCUGAGACGCGAAAGCGUGGGGAGCGAACAGG
RNAcentral lists this ribosomal RNA (253 nucleotides) under uncultured bacterium. RNAcentral's name for it is "partial 16S ribosomal RNA". It matches the Rfam family "Bacterial small subunit ribosomal RNA", at positions 524 to 776 of the family's 1533-position model. The record is from RNAcentral.